Molecule: ribosomal RNA, 495 nt
Filed under: uncultured bacterium
Lineage: Bacteria
Description: partial 16S ribosomal RNA
Rfam family: Bacterial small subunit ribosomal RNA
Source: RNAcentral
GACGAACGCUGGCGGCGUGCCUAAUACAUGCAAGUCGAACGCUGAAGGAGGAGCUUGCUUCUCUGGAUGAGUUGCGAACGGGUGAGUAACGCGUAGGUAACCUGCCUGGUAGCGGGGGAUAACUAUUGGAAACGAUAGCUAAUACCGCAUAAUAGUAGAUGUUGCAUGACAUUUGCUUAAAAGGUGCAAUUGCAUCACUACCAGAUGGACCUGCGUUGUAUUAGCUAGUUGGUGGGGUAACGGCUCACCAAGGCGACGAUACAUAGCCGACCUGAGAGGGGGAGCGGCCACACUGGGACUGAGACACGGCCCAGACUCCUACGGGAGGCAGCAGUAGGGAAUCUUCGGCAAUGGACGGAAGUCUGACCGAGCAACGCCGCGUGAGUGAAGAAGGUUUUCGGAUCGUAAAGCUCUGUUGUAAGAGAAGAACGAGUGUGAGAGUGGAAAGUUCACACUGUGACGGUAUCUUACCAGAAAGGGACGGCUAACUACGUG